RNAcentral lists this ribosomal RNA (469 nucleotides) under uncultured bacterium. RNAcentral describes it as "bacterial SSU rRNA". It matches the Rfam family "Bacterial small subunit ribosomal RNA", at positions 335 to 801 of the family's 1533-position model. The record is from RNAcentral.
ACUCCUACGGGAGGCAGCAGUGGGGAAUAUUGCACAAUGGGGAAACCCUGAUGCAGCCAUGCCGCGUGUGUGAAGAAGGCCUUCGGUUGUAAGACACUUCAGUAGGGAGGAAGGUAGUGUAGUUAACACCUGCACUAUUUGACGUUACCUACAGAAGAAGCACCGGCUAACUCCGUGCCAGCAGCCGCGGUAAUACGGAGGGUGCGAGCGUUAAUCGGAAUUACUGGGCGUAAAGCGCAUGCAGGCGGCCUGUUAAGUCAGAUGUGAAAGCCCGGGGGCUUAACCUCGGAAUUGCAUUUGAAACUGGCAGGCUAGAGUCUUGUAGAGGGGGUAGAAUUUCAGGUGUAGCGGUGAAAUGCGUAGAGAUCUGAAGGAAUACCAGUGGCGAAGGCGGCCCCCUGGACAAAGACUGACGCUCAGAUGCGAAAGCUGGGGAGCAAACAGGAUUAGAUACCCUGGUAGGAUAGCG